Molecule: ribosomal RNA, 497 nt
Filed under: uncultured bacterium
Lineage: Bacteria
Description: partial 16S ribosomal RNA
Rfam family: Bacterial small subunit ribosomal RNA
Source: RNAcentral
GAUGAACGCUGGCGGCGUGCCUAAUACAUGCAAGUCGAGCGAACGGACGAGAAGCUUGCUUCUCUGAUGUUAGCGGCGGACGGGUGAGUAACACGUGGAUAACCUACCUAUAAGACUGGGAUAACUUCGGGAAACCGGAGCUAAUACCGGAUAAUAUUUUGAACCGCAUGGUUCAAAAGUGAAAGACGGUCUUGCUGUCACUUAUAGAUGGAUCCGCGCUGCAUUAGCUAGUUGGUAAGGUAACGGCUUACCAAGGCAACGAUGCAUAGCCGACCUGAGAGGGUGAUCGGCUACACUGGAAGUGAGACACGGUCCAGACUCCUACGGGAGGCAGCAGUAGGGAAUCUUACGCAAUGGGCGAAAGCCUGACGGAGCAACGCCGCGUGAGUGAUGAAGGUCUUCGGAUCGUAAAACUCUGUUAUUAGGGAAGAACAUAUGUGUAAGUAACUGUGCACAUCUUGACGGUACCUAAUCAGAAAGCCACGGCUAACUACGUG